AAUCAAUCUACCAUCUCGAUUGACUGGUGGAUCUCACCAUGGUAGGCUGGGAUUAAACAACAGAGGAGCACGUGACCCUCCCCACCUCAAGCCGGUGCUCUCCAAGGUGCUUGGCUCACAGACAGGAGUCCAGUCCUUCUCGAAAGAAUGGCCCGAGAAAGGACCUGGAAAUGGUCCAGCACUGAUUCUAGGACCGAGAUGAACCUGUGGUCACCCACGCUGGCCUCAUGGCAGCCAGGCCCCCCUGCCCAUUUCCUCAGAUUACUCACUGACUCCAGCAUCGAGGCGCCGGUAGGGUCGUGAAGGCUGCACAACCUCACCUGAGAUUCUGUCCUGGAGUGGAAGAGAACAGAACAGAUGGACAAUUCAGAUAGAUCCUCUGCCCUCAAGCAAGCCUGGUUCGUUAAACCAGUAGAAUUAUUUUGUUUGUAAAAUCAGUCAGGAAGCAUGGAAGGAAGUAUAGAAAAAGAGGAGACAAGAGAAGCAUUCCAGAGGAGAAAACUGAAGCUGAGACAGGGCCGUCACAUGGCUUGUAAACACCGAGUCCAGGUCCUCUCCAUUCACCUGGCUCCUCUGACCAACUGAACUGCAUCAAGUCAGCUGUUGGGGUGAUGCUAGGUGGUUCCUUAAAAAGGCACUUCUGCCACGGUAACCAGAGCUGGCCCUUAGCAAGCACAGUCAGGCAAACUCACCUACAAGAUGCACAGCUACUGAGUAGUUGAGUAAGGAUCCUUAUUCAGGGAGCCCAGCUCUGGCAAAGACUCGUAACCCAGCACAGGGCACGCUGAAGUUGAGUGGAAAGGCAAAGCAAGCUGCCUGCCGAUGUUCAGUCUGGGAGGAAUGAAGGGGGAUGAGAACAGUCUUCCUUCAUCUGCCUGCCUCUGCUCCUCUCCAGCCCUCUCAGUGAGAGGCAUCCGAAGAGAACCACUGUUGUGAUUUCGAUCUUGACUAUUUUCCCCAGCUCCAGUGUUCAAAAGGCUUGGCCACCAGCCUGAGAUGCUACCAGGAAGUGAUAGAAGCCUCACCAGCGAAGUUAGCUCCCUGAGGGUCUGCUCUCUCGAAUGGGAUGUUAGGACUCCAGGCUUGCCCUCUCUAUCUCUUUCUCCUUCCAGGUCACCAUAAGGCCAGCUGCUUUUUUCCACCCAUGACAUUUUGCCACGCUAGAGGCCUAAAGAGAGUCAGCCAGGCAACCAUGAACUGAAACUGUGAGUCAAAUGAAUCUUUCCCCAGGUAAGGAAUUCGCGUGGGUAUUUUGUUACAAUGACGGAAAGCUGACAGACAGUCACCCUCCAUCUGAGCUCUGGGUAUCACAUCUCAUGCUUCUAUACAAAUGAAAACCUGUGUUCUACUCUGAUUGAUGAGAAAAUGGCAGAGAGUGGCUGAGGGGACAAAGGGACUUAAUGGACCAUUUUGCUUAAUGAAGGCACCAUCUGGGCAGAUUAUUCUGGGUGAAGAGGAAGAAAAAAUGUAAACUUCUCCAAAACAAACAAACAAACAAAACCCCAAACCAAAAGGGAUUCACCGCGAUGAGCCUGGCAGCAGAGACUGAGGAGGGUCUUGAUUACAUGGUUGAUUAAGUCAGGAACACAAGUAGUACAGAGACCUGUAGGGAGAAUGUAAAGUCUCCAGUCGGUGUGUGCUGUCUGAUACAAGCAGGGCCAGACCUAUGGGAGUGACAAAGUCUUCCCUCCCCACAGGGUGAAGCUCAGAGGGGUGAUAAAGCCUCCUCGGGUCUAGGUGCGAAUGUUGACGAAGUCUACAGAAAAUGUCCUCCAUUGUUUUCUCUCCUCAGAGGUCAUGACCUGAAGACAAUUCCUCAGCAGAAACAGAUCCUACCGAGAUUAGCCAAACCCGUCUCCUUGAUCAGCUGUGUAUAAUAACUCUCCCUACUUGUUCUUAGCUUUGUAAUAACUUCUCCUUGUUCAACUGUAUACAUUACCCCUGCUUCUCUGUUUAAUUGCAUGUAAUAAGCAUGUUGAGCUUUUGGGUGCUAUGGCUUCUCCAUCCAAUAGCCUAGCCUACCCGCUCCCAAUGUUUCUAUGUCCAUGUGAUGGUGUGUGUGUUUUUUUCUUCAUUCCCUCCCCACUCUGGUUAGGUCAAUCCCUGGAGCCAUGCAGACCACAGCAGAGACCAGAGAAAAUUCUUUGAGGGCUACAAUGGCCAAGAGAUUUUAAGAAAAGGACUCCUAUCCACCCUGUGGCUUUCUGCCAUGAGCCAUCAUGCUGUUUCUGUCCCAUCAGCUAGAUGGUGUCUUCAAUGGGCCCUUCAAGAAGAGAAAGACAUGAAUCCCUGCGUGUGAACUCAAGGAUGUGACUAGCAAAUACCACCUCCUGCUGAUGCCUGCAACACCAGAUUUGCCGCUGAGUCCAGACCUCCUGUCCCUCAGUCACCUGAGGAGCAUGCCUGCUGGUGAAUGAGGCGGGGAGACCCUGACCUCAGCGUGGCCACACAGACUGAAGGUCACCAUCACCAUGUCAAGCCUAAGGUUGAAUAUCCUCAUGGACCAUCAUCUAUGGACUCUCAGGAUCCGUCUAUGGACACGGAAGAACCUAUGGACCCUGGUUUGAGAAACUUGGCUGACAGCUUUUCCUUCUGGGAUCUGCCACCGAACCCGGCUCUUGCAGCUGAAGCCUCACCUGUGUGGGCUCACCUCUCAUGGCGAUGGGCCGUACCCACCUGCUCUCCCUCCCCAGCUGUUCUUGGCACCUCCUCCCCUUGGUGCCGCCACCCACACAAGGUUUCCGGCUCCCGAGGAACUCACCCUCUGCUGUGCAGGCUGGGACCCACCCUGGCCUCACCCUGCCCUCCCCUUUCAGCUCCACGGACUUCUGCUCCGGUGAGUCCCCAGCCCGUUGCGAGCCAGAGACUCAAAGCACUGAGUUAUUCUAAUCCUGGGGCCUUAGAAGCAAAAUCUGAUUUUUUUUUUUUAAUUUCUAGUUUUAAAAACAAACCAAAUAAGAACACUGCCUCUGAGGUCUGAACAAUGCCUUUCUCUGGGGCUUGUCUUCAGUUCUUUACUUCUCAAAUCCCACCCCAUCCCACCCUAACAUGAGGGUACCCAAAUCUUUACCAAUUAGUGGAGAUGGCACUUGUACCUAAAUGCUUUUGUCCUCACUGAAAACCCUUGUCAGUGUUGGGCCCCUUCUGCCCUGCUCCAUCCUAGGUGGGUUGAUUGUUACUAAUGGUAGUUUGCCUCUCUCACAGUAGAGACACCUUGAGCAACGAGCCCCUGAUUGCCUCCCCAACCUUCCCACAUCUUUCUCAACUUCGGUCACACCUGAGCCAACUCUACCUUGAGUCUGCCUGAAGUGGCUUCCCUGAGCCAACGUCUCUGCAUGACCUGUGUGUCCUCUCUGGAAGGACCAUGUCCUUGCACAUUGGACCUGCCAAUCAUAAUAGUGACAAACAGUACCCAGGUUUCUAGAGCUCCUUACAUGCUGUCAGUUACUUCUGCUCAUCUGAUCCUACCACAUUCUUGGGAAUUGUUUGUGUUUGCAUAAUCUUUUAUUGAU
Peromyscus maniculatus bairdii (prairie deer mouse) is the source of this 3512-nucleotide long non-coding RNA. RefSeq lists it as uncharacterized. The record is from RefSeq and is a predicted model, not a curated record. Lineage: Eukaryota; Metazoa; Chordata; Mammalia; Rodentia; Cricetidae.